GGGUUGUGAGGUUAAGCGACUAAGCGUACACGGUGGAUGCCCUGGCAGUCAGAGGCGAUGAAGGGCGUGCUAAUCUGCGAUAAGCGCCGGUAAGGUGAUAUGAACCGUUAUAACCGGCGAUACCCGAAUGGGGAAACCCAGUGUGACUCGUCACACUAUCAUUAACUGAAUCCAUAGGUUAAUGAGGCGAACCGGGGGAACUGAAACAUCUAAGUACCCCGAGGAAAAGAAAUCAACCGAGAUUCCCCCAGUAGCGGCGAGCGAACGGGGAGGAGCCCAGAGCCUGAAUCAGCAUGUGUGUUAGUGGAAGCGUCUGGAAAGGCGCGCGAUACAGGGUGACAGCCCCGUACACAAAAGCGCAUGUGCUGUGAGCUCGAUGAGUAGGGCGGGACACGUGGUAUCCUGUCUGAAUAUGGGGGGACCAUCCUCCAAGGCUAAAUACUCCUGACUGACCGAUAGUGAACCAGUACCGUGAGGGAAAGGCGAAAAGAACCCCGGCGAGGGGAGUGAAAAAGAACCUGAAACCGUGUACGUACAAGCAGUGGGAGCACCCUUUAGGGUGUGACUGCGUACCUUUUGUAUAAUGGGUCAGCGACUUAUAUUCUGUAGCAAGGUUAACCGUAUAGGGGAGCCGGAGGGAAACCGAGUCUUAACCGGGCGUUAAGUUGCAGGGUAUAGACCCGAAACCCGGUGAUCUAGCCAUGGGCAGGUUGAAGGUUGGGUAACACUAACUGGAGGACCGAACCGACUAAUGUUGAAAAAUUAGCGGAUGACCUGUGGCUGGGGGUGAAAGGCCAAUCAAACCGGGAGAUAGCUGGUUCUCCCCGAAAGCUAUUUAGGUAGCGCCUCGUGAAUUCAUCUCCGGGGGUAGAGCACUGUUUCGGCUAGGGGGCCAUCCCGGCUUACCAACCCGAUGCAAACUGCGAAUACCGGAGAAUGUUAUCACGGGAGACACACGGCGGGUGCUAACGUCCGUCGUGAAGAGGGAAACAACCCAGACCGCCAGCUAAGGUCCCAAAGUCAUGGUUAAGUGGGAAACGAUGUGGGAAGGCCCAGACAGCCAGGAUGUUGGCUUAGAAGCAGCCAUCAUUUAAAGAAAGCGUAAUAGCUCACUGGUCGAGUCGGCCUGCGCGGAAGAUGUAACGGGGCUAAACCAUGCACCGAAGCUGCGGCAGCGACGCUGAUGCGUUGUUGGGUAGGGGAGCGUUCUGUAAGCCUGCGAAGGUGUGUCGUGAGGCAUGCUGGAGGUAUCAGAAGUGCGAAUGCUGACAUAAGUAACGAUAAAGCGGGUGAAAAGCCCGCUCGCCGGAAGACCAAGGGUUCCUGUCCAACGUUAAUCGGGGCAGGGUGAGUCGACCCCUAAGGCGAGGCCGAAAGGCGUAGUCGAUGGGAAACGGGUUAAUAUUCCCGUACUUGGUGUUACUGCGAAGGGGGGACGGAGAAGGCUAUGUUGGCCGGGCGACGGUUGUCCCGGUUUAAGCGUGUAGGUGUGUGUUCCAGGUAAAUCCGGUUCACUUUAACACUGAGGCGUGAUGACGAGGCACUACGGUGCUGAAGCAACAAAUGCCCUGCUUCCAGGAAAAGCCUCUAAGCAUCAGGUAACAUCAAAUCGUACCCCAAACCGACACAGGUGGUCAGGUAGAGAAUACCAAGGCGCUUGAGAGAACUCGGGUGAAGGAACUAGGCAAAAUGGUGCCGUAACUUCGGGAGAAGGCACGCUGACAUGUAGGUGAAGUGAUUUACUCAUGGAGCUGAAGUCAGUCGAAGAUACCAGCUGGCUGCAACUGUUUAUUAAAAACACAGCACUGUGCAAACACGAAAGUGGACGUAUACGGUGUGACGCCUGCCCGGUGCCGGAAGGUUAAUUGAUGGGGUCAGCGCAAGCGAAGCUCCUGAUCGAAGCCCCGGUAAACGGCGGCCGUAACUAUAACGGUCCUAAGGUAGCGAAAUUCCUUGUCGGGUAAGUUCCGACCUGCACGAAUGGCGUAAUGAUGGCCAGGCUGUCUCCACCCGAGACUCAGUGAAAUUGAACUCGCUGUGAAGAUGCAGUGUACCCGCGGCAAGACGGAAAGACCCCGUGAACCUUUACUAUAGCUUGACACUGAACAUUGAGCCUUGAUGUGUAGGAUAGGUGGGAGGCUUUGAAGCGUGGACGCCAGUCUGCGUGGAGCCGACCUUGAAAUACCACCCUUUAAUGUUUGAUGUUCUAACGUGGACCCGUAAUCCGGGUUGCGGACAGUGUCUGGUGGGUAGUUUGACUGGGGCGGUCUCCUCCUAAAGAGUAACGGAGGAGCACGAAGGUUGGCUAAUCCUGGUCGGACAUCAGGAGGUUAGUGCAAUGGCAUAAGCCAGCUUGACUGCGAGCGUGACGGCGCGAGCAGGUGCGAAAGCAGGUCAUAGUGAUCCGGUGGUUCUGAAUGGAAGGGCCAUCGCUCAACGGAUAAAAGGUACUCCGGGGAUAACAGGCUGAUACCGCCCAAGAGUUCAUAUCGACGGCGGUGUUUGGCACCUCGAUGUCGGCUCAUCACAUCCUGGGGCUGAAGUAGGUCCCAAGGGUAUGGCUGUUCGCCAUUUAAAGUGGUACGCGAGCUGGGUUUAGAACGUCGUGAGACAGUUCGGUCCCUAUCUGCCGUGGGCGCUGGAGAACUGAGGGGGGCUGCUCCUAGUACGAGAGGACCGGAGUGGACGCAUCACUGGUGUUCGGGUUGUCAUGCCAAUGGCACUGCCCGGUAGCUAAAUGCGGAAGAGAUAAGUGCUGAAAGCAUCUAAGCACGAAACUUGCCCCGAGA
This 2789-nucleotide ribosomal RNA is filed under the name Salmonella enterica. RNAcentral's name for it is "partial 23S ribosomal RNA". It matches the Rfam family "Bacterial large subunit ribosomal RNA". Lineage: Bacteria; Pseudomonadati; Pseudomonadota; Gammaproteobacteria; Enterobacterales; Enterobacteriaceae. The record is from RNAcentral.